AUUGAACGCUGGCGGCAGGCCUAACACAUGCAAGUCGAACGGUAACAGGAAGCAGCUUGCUGCUUUGCUGACGAGUGGCGGACGGGUGAGUAAUGUCUGGGAAACUGCCUGAUGGAGGGGGAUAACUACUGGAAACGGUAGCUAAUACCGCAUAAUGUCGCAAGACCAAAGAGGGGGACCUUCGGGCCUCUUGCCAUCGGAUGUGCCCAGAUGGGAUUAGCUAGUAGGUGGGGUAAAGGCUCACCUAGGCGACGAUCCCUAGCUGGUCUGAGAGGAUGACCAGCCACACUGGAACUGAGACACGGUCCAGACUCCUACGGGAGGCAGCAGUGGGGAAUAUUGCACAAUGGGCGCAAGCCUGAUGCAGCCAUGCCGCGUGUAUGAAGAAGGCCUUCGGGUUGUAAAGUACUUUCAGCGGGGAGGAAGGGAGUAAAGUUAAUACCUUGGCUCAUUGACGUUACCCGCAGAAGAAGCACCGGCUAACUCCGUG
Molecule: ribosomal RNA, 490 nt
Filed under: uncultured bacterium
Lineage: Bacteria
Description: partial 16S ribosomal RNA
Rfam family: Bacterial small subunit ribosomal RNA
Source: RNAcentral